UUAUACCGUGCUGAAUAUAUCGGUUCUCUUUCGAUCACCGAAGUCAAGCGUCAUGGGACGCAGUCAGUACUUGGCAUGGUGACCAACUGGGAACACCGUGUGUC
Molecule: non-coding RNA, 104 nt
Organism: Caerostris extrusa
Lineage: Eukaryota; Metazoa; Arthropoda; Arachnida; Araneae; Araneidae
Source: the annotation of a GenBank genome assembly